GGAUGUUCCGCCUAUUAGUUUACUUUUAUUAUGUUGGUGUAUAUCUGGUUUAAUAUUAUUGUUGAAUGAUAUAAGUUUGUGUAGUUUACUAAUUAAGCCAAGUCUAUGUGCUGCUUAUAAAAGUAUUCAUGCGUUACUUUAAUAAAGUUUUAGUUGUAAAUACUAUUAUAUUCAGGACUUAAAAGUAAUGUUAAAUUAGUUUGUUAACGUGAAGUAAGUUUAGCUCAUGUACACACCGCCCGUC
This 244-nucleotide ribosomal RNA is filed under the name Taenia serialis. RNAcentral describes it as "partial small subunit ribosomal RNA". The record is from RNAcentral. Lineage: Eukaryota; Metazoa; Platyhelminthes; Cestoda; Cyclophyllidea; Taeniidae.